RNAcentral lists this long non-coding RNA (620 nucleotides) under Anas platyrhynchos platyrhynchos (common mallard). RNAcentral describes it as "lncRNA (ENSAPLG00000024104.1)". The record is from RNAcentral. Lineage: Eukaryota; Metazoa; Chordata; Aves; Anseriformes; Anatidae.
CAGACUUUGAUUUAAGGAUUUUGAACAAAUGAGUAGGGCAGGGUCAUCUAGGUCUUUGUAAAAAUGUACUUAUAGCCUUGCAAAGUACUGCCCUCUUCUCAGGGGAAAAUACAAUUCUGUUUUGCCUAGAAAUGGGAUAAUUGUUUCACAUUCUUUUUUUUAUCUCCAGCAACUCACAGGCUGGAGAUAAAGAUCAAGACAUGUUAUCUUACAAGAUUCCUGACAAAUUUGUGCUUGGCUAAAUUCCCUGACCUAGAAUGUCCAAGCUGAGAAUAUCUCAGCAUGGUUUUGCUGCUGCAAGGCUCUUUAGCUGCUGGCCUGACAUGACAUCCUUUUCUCUUGUGGACCCAAGAAGGAUACUGCACUGCAAUGACAUACAGUCUAUUUGCCAAGACAGUGAAAAACAGAUGGAUAUGAGGUGCAAGAAGACUAAGAAGCAGAAUGGAAAAAGACAACUCCGAUGGAUACAGGACUUUUCACUGUCUGUGCCGACCAGAGACUCACGUCUCUUCCCACAGCGCAGAAUUAGCCAUUUUAAAGUUACUGGCUACAAAAGAGCUCACACAAAAACAUACUUGCUGCAGUCAGAAGUCUCCACAAGAGGACACGCAAUAAUAUAA